This 465-nucleotide ribosomal RNA is filed under the name uncultured bacterium. Its description in RNAcentral is "partial 16S ribosomal RNA". It matches the Rfam family "Bacterial small subunit ribosomal RNA", at positions 28 to 507 of the family's 1533-position model. The record is from RNAcentral.
GACGAACGCUGGCGGCGUGCUUAACACAUGCAAGUCGAACGGAAAGGCCCCUUUGGGGGUGCUCGAGUGGCGAACGGGUGGGUAACACGUGAGUAACCUGCCCUUGCCUUCGGGAGAACUUCAUGAAACUGGGGCGAAUACCGACUAGGUAUCCUUGCCGCAUGCUGGGGGUGGGAAAGCUUCGGCGGGUUUGGAUGGACUCGCGGCUUAUCUGCUUGUUGGUGGGGUAGUGGCUUACCAAGGCUUUGACGGGUAGCCGGCCUGGGGGGGGGACCGGCCACAUUGGGACUGAGAUACGGCCCCGACUCCUACGGGGGGCAGCAGGGGGGAAUAUUGCACCAUGGGCGGAAGCCUGAUGCAGCAACGCCGCGUGCGGGAGGACGGCCUUCGGGUUGGAAACCGCUUUCAGCAGGGGCGAAGCUUGUGGUGACGGUACCUGCAGAAGAAGCACCGGCUAACUACGUG